This 327-nucleotide unclassified non-coding RNA is filed under the name soil metagenome. RNAcentral describes it as "partial contains 5.8S ribosomal RNA, internal transcribed spacer 2, and large subunit ribosomal RNA". The stretch from base 1 to 120 matches the Rfam family "5.8S ribosomal RNA", at positions 35 to 154 of the family's 154-position model. The record is from RNAcentral.
GAUGAAGAACGCAGCGAAAUGCGAUAAGUAGUGUGAAUUGCAGACUUUAGUGAAUCAUCGAAUCUUUGAACGCACAUUGCGCCCUUUGGUAUUCCGAAGGGCAUGCCUGUUCGAGCGUCAUUUCACCACUCAAGCCUGGCUUGGUAUUGGGCGCCGCGGUCGAUCCGCGCGCCUCAAAGUCUCCGGCUGAGCUGUCCGUCUCUAAGCGUUGUGAUUUCAUUAAUCGCUUCGGAGUGCGGGCGGCCGCGGCCGUUAAAUCUUUCACAAGGUUGACCUCGGAUCAGGUAGGGAUACCCGCUGAACUUAAGCAUAUCAAUAAGCGGAGGA